CCUACGGGUGGCAGCAGUGGGGAAUAUUGCACAAUGGGGGAAACCCUGAUGCAGCGACGCCGCGUGAGCGAUGAAGUAUUUCGGUAUGUAAAGCUCUAUCAGCAGGGAAGCAAAUGACGGUACCUGACUCAGAAGCCCCGGCUAACUACGUGCCUGCAGCCGCGGUACUACGGAGGGGGCAAGCGUUAUCCGGAUUUGCUGGGGGUAAAGGGAGCGUAGGCGGCUGUGCAAGCCAGAUGUGAAAGCCGGGGGCUCAACCCCGGGACUGCAUUUGGGACUGUGUGGCUAGAGUGUCGGAGAGGCAAGCGGAAUUCGUAGUGUAGCGGGGAAAGGCGUAGAUAUCAGGAGGAACACCAGUGGCGAAGGCGG
This 369-nucleotide ribosomal RNA is filed under the name uncultured bacterium. RNAcentral's name for it is "partial 16S ribosomal RNA". It matches the Rfam family "Bacterial small subunit ribosomal RNA", at positions 338 to 724 of the family's 1533-position model. The record is from RNAcentral.